This 865-nucleotide ribosomal RNA is filed under the name uncultured Bacillus sp. RNAcentral's name for it is "bacterial SSU rRNA". It matches the Rfam family "Bacterial small subunit ribosomal RNA", at positions 28 to 857 of the family's 1533-position model. The record is from RNAcentral. Lineage: Bacteria; Bacillati; Bacillota; Bacilli; Caryophanales; Bacillaceae.
GACGACGCUGGCGGCGUGCCUAAUACAUGCAAGUCGAGCGCGGGAAGCGAGCUGAAGCCCUUCGGGGUGGACGCUCGUGGAACGAGCGGCGGACGGGUGAGUAACACGUGGGCAACCUACCUGUAAGACCGGAAUAACCCCGGGAAACCGGGGCUAAUGCCGGGUAACCAAUCGGUUCUCCUGAACCGAUUGUAAAAGGAUGGCUUCUGGCUAUCGCUUACAGAUGGGCCCGCGGCGCAUUAGCUAGUUGGUAAGGUAACGGCUUACCAAGGCGACGAUGCGUAGCCGACCUGAGAGGGUGAUCGGCCACACUGGGACUGAGACACGGCCCAGACUCCUACGGGAGGCAGCAGUAGGGAAUCUUCCGCAAUGGACGAAAGUCUGACGGAGCAACGCCGCGUGAACGAUGAAGGCUUUCGGGUCGUAAAGUUCUGUUGUGAGGGAAGAACAAGGAUCGUGCGAACAGAGCGGUCCCUUGACGGUACCUCACGAGGAAGCCCCGGCUAACUACGUGCCAGCAGCCGCGGUAAUACGUAGGGGGCAAGCGUUGUCCGGAAUUAUUGGGCGUAAAGCGCACGCAGGCGGUUCCUUAAGUCUGAUGUGAAAGCCCGUGGCUCAACCACGGAGGGCCAUUGGAAACUGGGGAACUUGAGAACUGAAGAGGAGAGUGGAAUUCCACGUGUAGCGGUGAAAUGCGUAGAUAUGUGGAGGAACACCAGUGGCGAAGGCGACUCUCUGGUCGGUUUCUGACGCUGAGGUGCGAAAGCGUGGGUAGCAAACAGGAUUAGAUACCCUGGUAGUCCACGCCGUAAACGAUGAGUGCUAGGUGUUAGGGGGCUUCCACCCCUUAGUGCUGAAGUUAACG